AAAGCACUUAUUCAGAGAAGCUCUUGUGACGCGUUUGGAUUCUUGGAUUCCGGCGCCUUCAACCACUGCGUUCACGAGGAUUUAGCACAAGCCGGGAGAAACGAUCAACUCCAACACAACAAUGCGUUAUCCUUCUCACAGAAUUGACUUCAACGAUUAUUACGAUUCAAGGAUUCAAGAACUCGCGGUGUUAAGCAAUCCACCAUGGUUCGCGAUAUUCGAUCUUUAUUGAUAGUUCAGAUACUCGAAGAUCCGCGAUUCAUCUCACUCCAUUAUUGUAUGUGCGGAUGGAAGAAAAACCACAUCGAAAUCGGAUCGGAAAAACUUACCAGAUUAAAGCUCCAAUUACAAUUAGCUUCUCACCAAUUCCGUUACGAGUUGCGAGCUUCUACGGAUUUUGUUGAAGGUUCUUGGUGGAUGAUGAAGGCCUCGCUCGCAUCUCCGCUUUGAGAUGAAGACGAAGACGUAAUACCGGUAUUGCCGAUCGAAAUGAAGAAGAAGUCUCUUGGAUCGAUCUUUGGCGGUUCGGUUGUGAUGAUGAUAAAUUAAUGUGGAAGAAUUGAAGAGUGAAGAUUGGAAGCGGUUGAAGGUUUCGGUGGACGGAGAUUACGGUUACGGUUACGGAUUCGUAGUGGUUGAAGGCUUGGCUAUGGAGUUUUGGAGUUUUUGAUGAAGGUGAUUGUGAAUUGAAAAAAAACGGUUACGGUUACGGUGGUUGAAGGUUUUGGUUGAAUGAUUGGAAGAGUUUGUGAUGAAGUUUGGAAGAAGAAGAUUG
Long non-coding RNA from Lathyrus oleraceus (garden pea), 775 nucleotides. RefSeq lists it as uncharacterized. The transcript is spliced from 3 exons. NCBI's taxonomy places the organism in Eukaryota, Viridiplantae, Streptophyta, Magnoliopsida, Fabales, Fabaceae. The record is from RefSeq and is a predicted model, not a curated record.